GUCGAGAAUCUUUCACAAUGGGGGCAACCCUGAUGGAGCGACGCCGCGUGGAGGAUAAGGUCUUCGGAUUGUAAACUCCUGUCAUGCGUGAACAAGGUUGCUUGGUUAAUACCUGGGCAAAUUGAUGGUAACGCAAGAGGAAGAGACGGCUAACUCUGUGCCAGCAGCCGCGGUAAUACAGAGGUCUCAAGCGUUGUUCGGCAUCACUGGGCGUAAAGGGUGCGUAGGUGGCGUGGUAAGUCAGAUGUGAAAGCCCGGGGCUCAACCUCGGAACUGCAUCCGAUACUGCCAUGCGGGAGGACUGGAGAGGUGACUAGAAUUCUCGGUGUAGCAGUGAAAUGCGUAGAUAUCGAGAGGAAUACCAAAGGCGUAGGCAGGUCACUGGACAGUUACUGACACUGAGGCACGAAGGCCAGGGGAGCGAACGGGAUUAGAUACCCUGGUAGUCC
RNAcentral lists this ribosomal RNA (449 nucleotides) under uncultured bacterium. RNAcentral's name for it is "partial 16S ribosomal RNA". It matches the Rfam family "Bacterial small subunit ribosomal RNA", at positions 354 to 796 of the family's 1533-position model. The record is from RNAcentral.